RNAcentral lists this ribosomal RNA (370 nucleotides) under uncultured bacterium. Its description in RNAcentral is "partial 16S ribosomal RNA". It matches the Rfam family "Bacterial small subunit ribosomal RNA", at positions 338 to 700 of the family's 1533-position model. The record is from RNAcentral.
CCUACGGGAGGCAGCAGUAGGGAAUCUUCCACAAUGGGCGAAAGCCUGAUGGAGCAACGCCGCGUGGGUGAAGAAGGUCUUCGGAUCGUAAAACCCUGUUGAUAGAGAAGAAAGUGCGUGAGAGUAACUGUUCACGUGUGGACGGUAUCUAACCAGAAAGCCACGGCUAACUACGGGCCAGCAGCCGCGGUAAUACGUAGGUGGCAAGCGUUAUCCGGAUUUAUUGGGCGUAACGGGAACGCAGGCGGUCUUUUAAGUCUGAGGUGAAAGCCUUCGGCUUAACCGGAGUCGUGCAUUGGAAACUGGGAGACUUGAGUGCAGCUGCGGUGAGUGGAACUCCAUGUGUAGCGGUGAAAUGCGUAGAUAUCUG